Long non-coding RNA from Equus caballus (horse), 591 nucleotides. The record is from Ensembl. NCBI's taxonomy places the organism in Eukaryota, Metazoa, Chordata, Mammalia, Perissodactyla, Equidae.
CCUGGACCAGAGCUCAGUCCCUUUUGGAGAGGGCCCUGAGGGAGACGCCUGGACAGGAAGAAAAGACAUUUUUGAGAUGUUCCUGGUCCCCUAAAUGGAUUGCGUCCUGUUCCUUCAGCAUUAAAGUCAGUCUAAAGCAGAGGCCUCCGGGAGCUGACGUGGAUGAAAUGUUACAUUUGUAUCAUCAUUCUACAGAUGGACAGGAAAGCACUUUUUCUGGAUAAAUCGAAGGAGGGAGGCUGAGGGAUCAAACCACUGUGAGCCCCACGGGGACCCUGACAUCUCUGCCCGUGAGCCAGCGACAGCCAUCCAUCUUUCUAGGUUACACAUAAGUCAUCGCAGGCAGGCGAGAGUUGGACCUAUUUCUGAAGAUCUGUUCAGCAAGCAGGUCCUUUCAUCUGAGGACACAACGAAAGACACUGGCUUGUGGUACCAUUUCCUGACACCAUUUGGGGCUGGCAGUCCAGCAGGCGGACAGCUUUGUGGCACGGUACGGAAGAGUUGGCAGACUUUCCAAGAGAGGUUCCAUAUGUGAAAGGUGCUGAUUAGGAAGUUUUCAAAUCUGCAACAACCAGUGAUCCCUGAGAGCAC